This is a long non-coding RNA of Folsomia candida, 9754 nucleotides long. RefSeq lists it as uncharacterized. The transcript is spliced from 3 exons. Lineage: Eukaryota; Metazoa; Arthropoda; Collembola; Entomobryomorpha; Isotomidae. The record is from RefSeq and is a predicted model, not a curated record.
UCAAAAAUUAAUGCUUUGAGGCUUAUCAAUUAAGUUAUCAAUUUUUCAGAUAAGCAAACUUAGUUUAUCCAUAUCGCCCCAAAUUUAAAACUUAAGCUUUUAUGAAUUUAUGAUGGUGAUAUUCACUGAAAAAUUAACGCUAUAGGGCUUAUCUCCAGACUUAUCAAUUUUUCAGAUAAGCAAAUUUAGUAUGCGAUAUGCGAUUGAUUUCGUUUCUUUAGUCAUACGUAUUUGGUUGUGCAUAAAUACUUCUACAAUAAUUUAGGGAAAUUCUGUAUUAUUUGCACCCAAUGACAACCACAAAAUACUUUAAAAAAUCUGAUGGAUAACUUGAUUGUGAACUGAUUGACAUCGCUGGUAAGACAGCUUAAUCAAAUUGAAUCGUAUUUACCGAAAUUAUUUGUUAGAACAUGAAUUACACUGUUGUUAAAUUUUAAUUGAAGGUUGCAAAUUGAGCGCACGGCAUCUACACAUUUUUCUUUUAAAUGGUUAUGGACAUUUGAAUACGUCCAUCUACAAGGGUACAAUAUCGCACAAUAACGCAGUAAGACCCCAUUCGCACCCUCACGUCACUUAUAUUCCUUCAAAUAUCACGCCGCAUAAUUGACGAAAUCUGUCGAUAUCAUAUUUGGAAACCCAAAAUAAGUGGCACGAACAGAAUAAUCUAUUACAUAAUUGUAUGGAGGAUGACGCUAGCAACAGCCUCCGAAAUUUUGGCAAAAUUUUUGAGGUGGUUCGAUACGCUUUUGAUAUUAUUCUUGAGAAUGCCCGAUGCCUUGAACAGGCCCCUUGCCUCCCUUUCCAGGUCGUCUAUUCGAGUUGCCUCACAACAGGAGAGAACAAUUACUAGGAAGAAAAUCCACCACGAAUUAAUUUUGGCCUGAAUUAUUUACCACAAUAGGCAAAAAAACAGUGCUUCAAUAUAAAAUGUCGUUCUUUUUAUGCUCGUGUCAAUCACUCGACAUUAAUUAUAUAUGUACAUUAACAUUAAUUAUAUAUAUUAUUUAAUUAUAUGGUCUUAGGGGUGCAUAGAUAUACAGGGUGGAAAUGUCUUAUUUGGACGCAAGAUAACCGGCCAUAAAGCUCCACUGGCGCGGUUAACAUUAUAUACGUUUUUAUUUUGAGUAAAUGAAUUGUGCAGCAUUCCAAAAAAAAUUACUUGACACGAAUUGGCUUAAAAAUGCCUAAGAAAUUGCCACCCGAAGUUGACCCACUGAUAAACCAGUUUUCCAAAGAUGGUUUGUCAUGUAGACAAAUUUCUGAUAAGCUCCGAGGGUCCGGAUAUAACGUGGGUCGUACGACAGUAUCUAAUGUGUUAAACAAAGUUGGAAUUUUGAGACAAUAUCGAAGUGCCGGUCUACCGAGCCGAAGAAGCACCAGCCCCCAAAAGUGGUAACCAGUGCCAUUAUUCGAAAAAUUGAUCUCCAGACCUAUAAAGAAACCCACCGAGCCAACGACAGAUGGGAAAACAAUUCGGGGUCUCUCACACCACUAUUGGUAAGGUCAUUCGACAAAAACUUGAGAAAGGUAUCAACAAAAAAGCCAGAUUUCACGUCCUAAAGGAGUGUCAUAAGCGGAACCGGAAAACGAACUGCAGAAAGCUGUACGAAAAUCAUCUGGCAAGGAAACAGUCCGAAUUAUGUGUUAUUUUGGACUAACACUCUUCAACCUUCAAGAUUGUAAAGGCUACAGUAAAAUAUAUUACAAGAAACCAGGGAAAUUUGACCCUGAAUUUGUGUUUCAGAAAAUUGAAAAGUUUUGCAACAAGUUUAUGGUGGUGGGUGCUUUAGGUGGGCGUGGCACCCUGCCACUCAUCCAAGUGCCCACCAAGGUUAAGAUUAACUUGUUGAGAAGGUUUUAAAACCUCUUUUGGAAAUUCAUAUUCCGAAGUUAUACCCAGGUCAGACCGAUAAUUUUGUUCGUCAUGACGCUGCCUCAUCGUUCACCUCCAGAUUGACGACCAAAUCUGCAGCCGAUCUAAAACAAAUAUUGGGAAUAGCCAUCAUUCCAAAAAGUGAGAUACCUGUAAAGAGUCCUCGUACUAGUCCCAUGGAUUUCUUUGCAUUUGGACUACUAAAACAAAAGCUUUAGUCGAGACGCGGAUGGGGUUUGGAAAGUACUUAAAGACGAGUGGAGCAAGAUCAGUGUUCAAGAUAUGGGAAAAGUGAUGAUUUCGUGGAAACGGCGACUGAGGGCAGUUAGCCAGAAGUCUGGGGAAGACAUUGAACAAAGAAAGCAAAUUCAUAAACGCCGGAUAAAAUUUUAAGGUCAGUUUUCCUGCCGUCCAAAUAAGGUGUUUCCACCCUCGGUAUUUGCACUGUGCAACAAAACGCACAUUUUUGCAUCGUUUGCAUUUAUGUGACCCGUGCACUUUUGAUACUAUGUGCAGACGAUAUACAUAUGUAAUCAACCAUCCUCAACAUACUCAAUCAUCUUCCUUCACUUUACUAAGCGAGGCAAGAUAUGUCGAAGUAGUAAAUACUGUUCAUAGUUUUAAUUGGAGGCAUAGAAAGGAAUGAAGUGUUACGUUCUUUGUAAAAAAUUUAUGUAUUCUGGCCAAGGAUGACUUGAAUUUUAAAUCUGCUUCAUCCCCGGACAUUCUAACGGUAUGAAUAUGAAUUGUGCUCACAUCGCAUUUCUAGGGUAAGAAGUUGUCAAUUAAACGGCAAAUUCGUGAUAAGGUGUGACAAAGUGUGGCCAUGCUACAGCUUAUAUUAGUUACGGAUAUGUACAAAGCAAAACAUAAACAAAAAAAAUGCAGAAGGGACUCAAUCCACCAAAAUACUUCUUUUCUCCGAACCCUUAUGGUUUUAUUAUACGUAGGUUACAAGGUAUGUACUAGAUACGUAGGUUUGGUUAAAUCCAAUCAUGAAUGGCGCUGGUAUGAAGUACGAUUUUAUUCCUGUAAAUAUUUGGGGAAUUGUUAGUAUACAUAUAUUUGUAUAAAUCCCAUUGUUUUCCCCGGAAUUACUACCUGUUUUCUCUUCAUAGCUCCACAUCCAUGCCGUACCCGCUGUAACCUUGACUACGAUCGGAGUGAAUUUGCCGGUAGCCGUCAUCGUCAUUAUUAUUCUUAUCAUCUCAUGCUAUUUGUGCAGCAUGCCGUGACCAACCAAGUUUCUUACGUACGCGCAAACCGUAGCACAACCUCUGCGGACCUGGUCCUAGUGGACAAACCAGCCACUCCACCCAUGCGACUUCUGGUCCGCCCAUGAGGGCGAGCAGGGUCUGCUUUUCCUUGGGGAUGAAGCUUAAGCAGUCCCAUUUACGCAUGAGGAUGGCUUGCGCCACACGGCAGGAUUUGUCAAUAUUUAUAUGUAUCAGUGAUGGGUGCCUCCGCAUCCCAAAUUAUAUGGUCAAUAGUACUUACCCCUGUCCAAACAGGCUGCACAUUGGAUCAACUCUCCGAAACCGAGAGUUAGUGAGGGCAAUUGCUGUGUGCUAGGAGCACUGAAAACAACAAAGCCAAUUUUUUAAAAUUAAUUUUACAUUGCUAAUUAUUUCUUUUCUAUUUAAAGAGUGUGUAAUAGCAAUAUAAGAUUUUGAAUCAAGUUUGAUACCCGGAUAGAGCGAGCAGGAGCAGCCCCACAGUGGUUUUCAGCAUCUUGAAUUGUGGCUUGGUUAAGGGGAUGAGCUGAUUGGCUGUUGGGAAGUAAAUGGAAUUAAUUUGAUUGAAUUAUGAUCUUUUUGGCGCUAUUAUCAUUAGUAUGUGCAUUGUUAGCAUUACUGCUGCACAUCCCUUGAAUAAACUCAGUCUCAGUGAUGGGGGACCCAUGUCCCCCAUCAUGAGGGACACCAGCGUCUUCUUCUACGCCGGGAAGAAGUCCGCGCACUCCGGGUGAAGAUGGCAUGUGUGAUCCGGCAUGGAUCCUGCAAGUUUAAAAUAGAAUUUUAUUAAUCAUGUAUACUAAUUAAUCGUCUGUUCUAGCUACACUUUUAAUAUACGCGUAAUUAUUAUAAAUGUAUGCAUUGUUCUUACGUCCAAGAUGGCCUCCACGUGGGCGCCGCUCCCCCGUGGGUGGACCUGUUCCUCGGCUUCCCAGACCGCAUACGUGUUGUCUGGAAUUAAAUUUUAAUGCUAUGAGUACGGUUACAUUAUGCGUCUAGUAAAUAAGCAGCAGUAAAUAAGAAGAACUUACUCCGUUGGAUGCAGCCUAUGCAGGCCGCCAUCUCACCCAUCCCGAGCGUCACGGCCGGAUAAGGCAUUGUAACUGCCUGGCUGCGGAAACAAAUAAUUUUCAAAAUCAUUGUUAUUGAUCAUUUUAAUUUUUUAUACAUUAAACCAACAGCAAUUUUAAUUUUUCUUUUUGUUACCUUCCUAUGAUGCCAAUAAGUACGAAGGAGAGUAGAGUUGUCAUCUUCUUCUUGUGUGUGAGAGGACCUUGUGUAGUGCUGGAAGAAUAAUUAUUACUUAGUACUGAUGUCUUGUCGUAAUUUAUAUGCUGUUAGUCGUAUAUUCCCUGUGCUUUAAUUAUUGCUGUGCAAGCAUGGCGUAAACAAGUUUUAUUUACUUACGAAUUUGUUUUUCUUGAAAAUCGUGCUAUGUAUGUCCUGACUGAUUUGCAUGGAUUUGUGCUGUUUCAGCAGGGCAAAGCUUCAGGAUAAGUUUUCAGUGGUUUUCUUAUUUAUUUAGUUAAGUCACUUCACUUUGCUGUGUCAGCAGGGUAGUUUUCACUAGCCUUUAUGUUCAGUCAUAUACAUACAUAUAUAUAAUAUUGAAGGUAUCCGCUACAACUACUUAUUAUAUAGUUAGUAAUUAAUCGCUAUUAAGAGCGUUGAGCUCUUUUUGUCGUCGGGAGUCUUAGCCCUAUAGGCAAAAAUUAUUUAAAAGUUAUUGGCGUACAGUUUGCAAACUCCGCAAUAGUUGCUGGAGAAUAUUCCUGUAUUUGGCUAAUUACUCAGUUUACUGCUUGCAGUUCUGAGGUCGGUGAAACAGACCGACGAAAUCGAGCAUACUGCUCGUAAAUAAACCUUUCACACCAUAUAUUGGUGUUGUAUCGUGGGCACCGAUACCUUAAAUCCCACAGAGGGUCGUUGACUAAAUCAGAAGUCAUUCUGCACCUUAUUGUUCUUAAAAUGUCUAUUUUAAACUGGUAAGAGUGUCAUUCUGUAUUUAGGCGUGUGUGUAAUUUUUGUCGUACUAAAUUAAUCAAUUUAAAAAAAAACAUUUACUUUUAUGCUGUUGAAUCCACUUUUUUUGGUGCACUACACUUGUUUGUACUAAUAGGAGUCAUUUUUAAGCACACAUUAUGUUAAAUAUCACGGUACGUACAUCUUUCUCUAUUUUCUUAAUUAUGUUCUGUUCACAUUUGGUUGAAAUUACUAGUUUAUCCGCUUUUGUGGGGCUAAUUAUCACUACUUUUCUUGUGGUGUCAGUUGUAAGGAUUUCUUUUGGUUUGCAUUUAUGAUUAUUAAAAAAAUCCUUCGUUGUAUAUACCUUAUGGCAAUUCAAACAAAAAUAUUUUCUUUCUACUGUCACGAUUAUUUUAUACUGUUUCGCUACCCAAUGUUCCCCUAAUUCCUUUCGUUUACCAGCAAAAGGUUUUUUUCAUGGUUUACAUUCCUCUUCCCCUUUUUGGUGUGAUGCAGUUGGCACAGUUGUAUUUUCGUUAUUUUCGACACUUGGAGAAAGUCCCUCGUCACUUUUUUCACUUAUGUUGUUUUCACUUUCACCAUUAUUGCUUAUACUACUAACUAAUUGAUCUAGCACGUGUGUAGUUUCUAUAGAGUAUGUUUCCUUAUAUAUACGUCUUAACAAGUUCACGACACUUUGAAUUAGUUCAAUGUCAAGGGGAACUUGCAUUUUUCUUUGUUAUUUUAAAUAUUAAACUCGUGGAUUUUUAUUCCAGUCUGGACUGGGAUAUUAUAUGCUGCAGCUGUGUCAGCACUUUUUAUGUAUGUUCCAGUCAAUACUGGAAGUUGUGCUACAAUUCACGAUGGUUUUGUGAGUUUUAUGCUUGUUUCAACUUUUAUACUGUCUGUUACCGUCUUUUUCGUCCUAUCCUAUAUAGUGGUUUGUAUGUUUAUUCUUUAGUAUGCGUGUCUUUUAUUCUUGGAGUAGACAGUACUCUCCUACUUCCCUACAUUUGCAGUAGUAUUGCAGUUUGAACUGCAAAAUAGUGGCAAACUGUGUCAUUUCUAGAAAUAAUCAAUAUUUCCUCUAAUAGUGUAACAGUGCAGUGGAUUUUACCACGACAAAUAAUAAAUUGCGUUACAUAUGUUUAGUUGGAUUUCUGUUAUAAGUACAUGUGCCUAUGUACUUUAUUCAUUUCAUUACGAUUUAUCGCUACUUUUAUAUAUAUAGCGUGUUUUGUGUUGGAAAAGCAUUGUAUUAAUCAUUUAAACAUUUAAAAUAAUUGUGAACAAUUAUUUUAUAACCGCGGCAUAGGGGGUGUUAGCAUUACUGCUGCACCUCCCUCAAAUAAAGUCAGUCUGGUGUUGCGAUCCGGGUGAGUUGGUUGUGUUCAUUACUUUCUCCGGCACACGCUGUUAAUUAAACAAAAAUUCAAAAAUUAGUAAUCACAGUAAAACUAUCAGGAUUAUAAGUAAGUAAGUAAGUAUUCUAAUAUCUGUAUUUCUGUUCUGUAUUUAAGUAUUCUACAAUAGCGACCAAUGAUAUUUAGAAUACUUACCUUCGUAAAUCAUACCCGACGGAACCUCCAGUGCCCAGAGUGGGUGGAUAUGGGACCUUACUGGAGUCGCUUGCGACUCCACAUUGCGACAGUGAGUAUGCAUCUGAACAACCGGCUUCUUCACCACGAUCUACUUCCCAAAUAUUGCUUGAGCCAUGGUUAAGCAAACUGCAAUGGUGAUUUGUUCACUCAGAUCGGUGGCUUAAUUAAUCAAUAAUCUGCCAUUUAGUGUAUAUACUCUGGUUUUAAAUGCAGUAUAAUAUAGUGCAGUGGUUUAUGCCACGAUUAAUACAGGUUAGUUAUAUAUGUUUGGUUAAGACCGUAGUGGUAAGAAUUGCGGUGCACGUACAUGAACUUCCACUGCAUCCAACAAGUGCAGUUCUUGCAGUAUUUUGUGCUAAAUUUUAUAAAGGACAAGUUAUUCAGUUUGAAAAGCAAUGUUACUUGUACUUUGUGUCUAACAAAAUUGUUAACAAUUUUUUUAAAACGCUAUGGUGGGGAUUGUUAACAUUACUGCUGCACCCAACAUACUAAAGUUAGUCUUUGGUUGCUAGUGGUCUGUGUCAGUCGUGUUUUGCUUACUCUCUCCGGGUAUUACGUCUAACAGAGGAGAAAGUUGUGUGAUGAGAUAUAUGACUCGUGUAAAGAACGUUGCCAGAACGUUUAUAUGCCUUGGCGAGUUACAUAUUAUGCAUAGUGUGGAUCACAUCCUAAUGGAACUAUGGUGGUAAUGGCAUACACGGCAGGUCUGUAAGAUAGAUAGAUUUAUUUCAAUGAAUCACCCCAAUUGGGUCCAAAGAUCUGUAAAAAAAACAAUGUUAUCAAUACAUAUGAGGUAUGUGUGUUGUCGCAAUGGCAAUGUAGUUGUAAUACAUAAUUGAAAUUUAUGACUCAGACAUAUGUCGACAUAUUAAAUUCCAUAGUGUGUCACAUGGGAAAUUGAGAUGAAAGGGUAAGGAAUUUUGCACCUUCUCAUCUUUUUUGUUAAUAAAACACCCAACAACUUUAAGCUUGUAAAAGGUGGCGAGAAUAUUUUUGAAGGACUUUGAAUCAAGUUGCUUAAAUAAAGAAAAUUCCACAUUUCUUAAUUCUUAAUGGCUAUUCCACGCAUAUGAGAAACAGCAAAUCCGAUGAUAAAUCGUUUGAACAUUGCAGGAUCCUUGUUGUGACCAAGUACACGAAUUACCAAUGCUGCUCCAAAAGUCAUAUUUCUGAUUAGUGCGCAGCGAAUUUCUGUUAAAAGAUACUUAAUUUAGAAUGGUAUUUAACAUACGCAAAUAAUUAAAUCGCUAAUAGAAAAUUUGUGGUGGUGAUCCUUAUUGAGAGGCAAUACAUUGUGUUGGCAGGCAAAUUGCUCCAAAAAAUUCUAAGGUUAGGAAGAUGUGUGAUAUUAUUGCCGUCCCUGCAACGUGAUGACCUGAUGAAAAACCUGAUAAAAAAUUACUCCAAAGCAAUCUCGGAGUAGUGAUGCCAACAUACAUAAUCACCUUAGCAGCGAGGCUUCUUCUUGUUCACCUGUAUAUGAUUUCUAUUAGAUUUCCCUUAUACAUGAUCCCAUUCAACAAUUGAAUGAAGUGGACAAAGAGAUAGUGAACUCCUUUUUGGGACAGUACAUCACCCUUUUUCCUAUACUGUGCUGACCACAGGAACAGUUGAUGUUAGCUUUAAUCUGUAUGAAGUCCUCGUCUCCCGCUUGAGUUAGUUUACACUUGAGAACGUAUAAGUUUAUCAUUACUGAGGAACCCUGUUGUGUUGACGCGUUUUUGUGACAACACAAAACCCAACUCCUUGUUCGCUUCAGUGCUUCGUGUGGGUUGUAGAUAUCCAAAAUAUUUAUAGUUUUUGGCAUUAUUUUUAAAAUGGAAACUUACCCUUCUCCAGUCAUGGAAUUUCCCAACAAACUGACCUGAGAAAUGUAAACCUCAGCAUUACAGAUAUUAUUAAACUCCAGUCAUGCAGAAGUCGAAGGAAAGUAAACAACUUACUUUUGUACAGACUGCAACAAUUGGUCGCAAAAAUUGAGCUCAGAGAUAUGUCAGAAAGAAAGAUUGUCCCCUCUCUUUCAUUUUGCAUGCUAAGCUUGUCAGCAUUUACAUAGGAGAACUGUGGAUUCAUUGAUUACGGCAAAUUUUGCAAAACUGUGUAUAGCUACAUAUACAGUACACGUAUGCAAGCACUUUUUUUUUUUAAAUUGCUUAAUUUCUGCAAUGCUGCAACUUCAGCAUCACUGGAGGUCGCCGUUUUUAAUUUUUUCACUACACCUUUGGAAGAUUUGCAGUUUUGGGCAGGUGCGAACUGACUAACUAGUUGUAGUAAAUCUAUCACUUGAUGUACUAGUACACUUUCCAAUUUAACUUUCACCAUUUCUAACGAAUUUUUACACUCAAUUCAACUCAGAGACCAAAGUCUCUGUAAACUGCACGAAAUUUUGCCAGCUUUUCCAUCAUUGGUUCAUGAUGGACAUCUGAAUGAUAGCUUCUCAUAUCAAUAUAGUGCAGGUACUCUAAAUGGCCUUUAAUGUGUAACGGGAGGUAUGAUGAUCCACACUUAGCUGUGCACUCAAGAUCAAUGUCUGGGUGGUCCAAGUUCAUAAUUAUUUGCAACGUUGUAGCUUUAGCUGGGAUUUGCAUAGACGUAAAGAAUGAUGCUUUGAGGCAUUCCAAGGUUGCUGUGGCAGGACAUCCAUCCGUUUCUAAAUGCAUGAAUAAAGUUGCACCAGCUCUGCAGUUAUGGCAUCCAUUAAUUUUAAUACUCGAGUCGUACUUUGUUCUUACAUUGAUUUAAGUUAAUGACGAAAUGACACGCAAUGCAACUCGCCAUACGAUAAUCCCUCAUGAUGUUUGUGUGGUGUAUAUAUAUGUAUCUACUCCCAACCACGAGAGUAGGGUGUCAGUCAGCUGCUGUGCAGCAGUAUUUAUUGUGCUUAAAAUUUAUACAAAACUGUAAUUUUGUUAGAAAAGCGUGUUUACAUUAAUUAUUAAUAAGUUAUUAACAACUUGUAUUUAUUUGUGUCUAGUGCAUAAUUCAUUUGUAAAUUUAUGAAUUAAAACCAGAGGGGUGUAGUGUCAGCAGUAAUGCUGAACCUUACCAUAAUAAAGUCUUCAGUCUUUGGUUGCAACUCA